Molecule: ribosomal RNA, 497 nt
Filed under: uncultured bacterium
Lineage: Bacteria
Description: partial 16S ribosomal RNA
Rfam family: Bacterial small subunit ribosomal RNA
Source: RNAcentral
GAUGAACGCUGGCGGCGUGCCUAAUACAUGCAAGUCGAGCGAACAGACGAGGAGCUUGCUCCUCUGACGUUAGCGGCGGACGGGUGAGUAAAACGUGGAUAACCUACCUAUAAGACUGGGAUAACUUCGGGAAACCGGAGCUAAUACCGGAUAAUAUAUUUAACCGCAUGGUUCAAUAGUGAAAGACGGUUUUGCUGUCACUUAUAGAUGGAUCCGCGCCGCAUUAGCUAGUUGGUAAGGUAACGGCUUACCAAGGCAACGAUGCGUAGCCGACCUGAGAGGGUGAUCGGCCACACUGGAACUGGGACACGGUCCAGACUCCUACGGGAGGCAGCAGUAGGGAAUCUUCCGCAAUGGGCGAAAGCCUGACGGAGCAACGCCGCGUGAGUGAUGAAGGUCUUCGGAUCGUAAAACUCUGUUAUUAGGGAAGAACAAAUGUGUAAGUAACUAUGCACGUCUUGACGGUACCUAAUCAGAAAGCCACGGCUAACUACGUG